Molecule: ribosomal RNA, 441 nt
Filed under: uncultured bacterium
Lineage: Bacteria
Description: partial 16S ribosomal RNA
Rfam family: Bacterial small subunit ribosomal RNA
Source: RNAcentral
CCUACGGGGGGCUGCAGUGGGGAAUAUUGCACAAUGGGGGAAACCCUGCUGCAGCGACGCCGCGUGAGUGAAGAAGUAUUUCGGUAUGUAAAGCUCUAUCAGCAGGGAAGCAAAAAGACGGUACGUGACUAAGAAGCCCCGGCUAAAUAAGUGCCAGCAGCAGAGGUAAUACGUAGGGGGCAAGCGUUAUCCGGCUUUACUGGGUGUAAAGGGAGCGUAGACGGCGCGGCAAGUCUGAAGUGAAAUGCAUGGGCUUAACCCCUGAACUGCUUUGGAAACUGCCAUGCUAGAGUGCUGGAGAGGUAAGUGGAAUUCCUAGUGUAGCGGUGAAAUGCGUAGAUAUUAGGAGGAACACCAGUGGCGAAGGCGGCUUACUGGACAGUAACUGACGUUGAGGCUCGAAAGCGUGGGGAGCAAACAGGAUUAGAUACCCUAGUAGUC